UAUAAAUUGCAUUAACAUAUUUAUUUUGGUAAACUCAUUUUUUGGUAGCUGUUGGUGCUCAAGUCGACGGUUCACUCUCUUCGUGGUUAGUUGGGGUUCCUCCCGCCGUGGGUUCCUCCUCCCCGUCUUGGGUCGGAGUGUACAUAGUCUUUUGAUAUUUCUUCUCUGGUUGAAGUUCUCUUCCUCAUCGUCCUACACCCCAAUGGUUGCAUGUUGCUUUUAGUUCCAGGAAGGUUCAGAUCUAGUCCAAAACCAAGUAUUUCUAAGGUCUUUCGCCAAUCCUUGUCUCUGGAUGGCCGACCUUCAAGAUGUGUUAGAGCGAUCGUGAGCACUGCUUGGUUUCCUUCCUUGGAGCAUCGACGAUGAGCGGCUUGGUGACUGCUCUAGUGUCAUGCCCCGUUCGCACAUCUGAAGUAUUGUUUCAGUGGAGACCCCUCCGUUCCUCAGUAUACAUUGUAGCCAUUUUGGCUCUGGAGAUGGAUGUUUUCAUUUUUUCUGUGGCUUUACAGCCCCCUCAACCAUUGGGGUGUUAGCGUUGUUGGUUGGAGCAUUGUUCUCUAGAGCAGUGAUGCUUUAUCAGUGCUUAAAGGCUCUUUGUUGUUGAUGUCCCCUACCGGAGCUGAGCGGGGACAGUGUUGUUUCCGCUGUACCAGUAACUAGGGUUCCCAAAUUUGGGAUCUUGGGCUGGAUAUUUUGUAUUGGGCCUUUAAUUCUUUUUUCUUGAUUAGCUAAUUCAGAUCUUAAAAAUUAUUUUAA
This is a long non-coding RNA of Manihot esculenta (cassava), 756 nucleotides long. RefSeq lists it as uncharacterized. Lineage: Eukaryota; Viridiplantae; Streptophyta; Magnoliopsida; Malpighiales; Euphorbiaceae. The transcript has 2 exons. The record is from RefSeq and is a predicted model, not a curated record.